GCUGUGGCUCAGUGGCAAAGCAUUUGGCUUCCAUGCAAAAAGUCCCAGGUUCAGUCCUGGCAUCUCCC
Podarcis lilfordi (Lilford's wall lizard) is the source of this 68-nucleotide non-coding RNA. The record is from the annotation of a GenBank genome assembly. Lineage: Eukaryota; Metazoa; Chordata; Lepidosauria; Squamata; Lacertidae.